Molecule: unclassified non-coding RNA, 261 nt
Filed under: Hevea brasiliensis (rubber tree)
Lineage: Eukaryota; Viridiplantae; Streptophyta; Magnoliopsida; Malpighiales; Euphorbiaceae
Source: RNAcentral
AAAACAUGCAUAUAGAUUAUAUAAAAAAUAAAAAUCUUUCAUUGUAAUAGUUUCAAAAAUUCAAGACAGCUCCAAACUUCCAUCCAAAAGAAUGGCAGAAGCAAUGCUAAUUAGACAAUAAUGGGCCAUGACAGAACUACACAACACACAAGAAUGCUCAAGCAAUUCAUAAAGUUGAUAAAUUAAAUUAAUAACUUGAUGGCCAAAAUCUGAACAAUCUAAUAAAACAUAAUUCACCAAGGAGUUGCUUUGAUACUCGAG